Artibeus jamaicensis (Jamaican fruit-eating bat) is the source of this 211-nucleotide small nucleolar RNA. RefSeq annotates it as small nucleolar RNA U3. The transcript has a single exon. The record is from RefSeq and is a predicted model, not a curated record. Lineage: Eukaryota; Metazoa; Chordata; Mammalia; Chiroptera; Phyllostomidae.
AAAACUAUACUUUCAGGGACCAUUUCUGUAGUUGUUACUACAGAAGCUUCUCUGAACGUGGAGAGCACCGAAACCAUGGGGAGGGGGCACAGCAUUCUCUCCUGAGCAUGAUGCAGGCUUUGGUGUUGCUUUUUUAACUGCUAAUGGCCACUGAUGAUCAUUCUUCUCUUUCUUUGGGAGGGUGAGAGAGAAGGGAUGCAGUCUAAAUGGC